Molecule: ribosomal RNA, 1837 nt
Filed under: wastewater metagenome
Description: bacterial LSU rRNA
Rfam family: Bacterial large subunit ribosomal RNA
Source: RNAcentral
GCUGUGGAUAGGGGUGAAAGGCUAAACAAACUUGGAAAUAGCUGGUUCUCUCCGAAAACUAUUUAGGUAGUGCCUCAAGUAUUACCAUCGGGGGUAGAGCACUGUUUUGGCUAGGGGGUCAUGGCGACUUACCAAACCAAGGCAAACUCCGAAUACCGAUGAGUACAGCUUGGGAGACAGAGCACCGGGUGCUAACGUCCGGACUCAAGAGGGAAACAACCCAGACCGCCAGCUAAGGUCCCUAAAAUUGGCUAAGUGGGAAACGAAGUGGGAAGGCUAAAACAGUCAGGAUGUUGGCUUAGAAGCAGCCAUCAUUUAAAGAAAGCGUAAUAGCUCACUGAUCGAGUCGUCCUGCGCGGAAGAUGUAACGGGGCUAAGCCAGUUACCGAAGCUGCGGAUGUGCAAUUUAUUGCACGUGGUAGGAGAGCGUUCUGUAGGCCUGUGAAGGUGUCUGGUAACGGAUGCUGGAGGUAUCAGAAGUGCGAAUGCUGACAUGAGUAGCGUUAAAGGGGGUGAAAAGCCCCCUCGCCGUAAGCGCAAGGUUUUCUACGCAACGUUCAUCGGCGUAGAGUGAGUCGGCCCCUAAGGCGAGGCAGAGAUGCGUAGCUGAUGGGAAACAGGUCAAUAUUCCUGUACCGAUGUGUAGUGCGAUGUGGGGACGGAGAAGGUUAGCUCAGCCAACUGUUGGAUAUGUUGGUUCAAGCCUGUAGUCGUGCCUGGUAGGUAAAUCCGCCGGGCUUAGAUGAGGGGUGAUAACGAGGCUGCUUGCAGCCGAAGUGAGUGAUACCCUGCUUCCAGGAAAAGCCACUAAGCUUCAGCUACACACGACCGUACCGCAAACCGACACUGGUGCGCGAGAUGAGUAUUCUAAGGCGCUUGAGAGAACUCAGGAGAAGGAACUCGGCAAAUUGACACCGUAACUUCGGAAGAAGGUGUGCCUUUAGUAGGUGAAGUCCCUCGCGGAUGGAGCCCAAUGAGGUUGCAAAAAAUCGGUGGCUGCGACUGUUUAUUAAAAACACAGCACUCUGCAAACACGAAAGUGGACGUAUAGGGUGUGACGCCUGCCCGGUGCUGGAAGAUUAAAUGAUGGGGUGCAAGCUCUUGAUUGAAGUCCCAGUAAACGGCGGCCGUAACUAUAACGGUCCUAAGGUAGCGAAAUUCCUUGUCGGGUAAGUUCCGACCUGCACGAAUGGCGUAACGAUGGCCACACUGUCUCCUCCUGAGACUCAGCGAAGUUGAAAUGUUUGUGAUGAUGCAAUCUCCCCGCGGAAAGACGGAAAGACCCCAUGAACCUUUACUGUAGCUUUGUAUUGGACUUUGAACAGAUCUGUGUAGGAUAGGUGGGAGGCUUUGAAGUAGGGUCGCUAGAUCUUAUGGAGCCAACGUUGAAAUACCACCCUGGUGUGUUUGAGGUUCUAACCUAGGUCCAUUAUCUGGAUCGGGGACAGUGCAUGGUAGGCAGUUUGACUGGGGCGGUCUCCUCCCAAAGCGUAACGGAGGAGUUCGAAGGUACGCUAGUUACGGUCGGACAUCGUGACGAUAGUGCAAUGGCAUAAGCGUGCUUAACUGCGAGACUGACAAGUCGAGCAGAUGCGAAAGCAGGACAUAGUGAUCCGGUGGUUCUGUAUGGAAGGGCCAUCGCUCAACGGAUAAAAGGUACUCUGGGGAUAACAGGCUGAUACCGCCCAAGAGUUCAUAUCGACGGCGGUGUUUGGCACCUCGAUGUCGGCUCAUCUCAUCCUGGGGCUGUAGCCGGUCCCAAGGGUAUGGCUGUUCGCCAUUUAAAGAGGUACGUGAGCUGGGUUUAAAACGUCGUGAGACAGUUUGGUCCCUAUCU